This 69-nucleotide transfer RNA is filed under the name Ramphastos sulfuratus. RNAcentral describes it as "tRNA-Gly". Lineage: Eukaryota; Metazoa; Chordata; Aves; Piciformes; Ramphastidae. The record is from RNAcentral.
GCUCUUCUAGUAUAUCCAUUACAAUUGACUUCCAAUCAUUAAAAUCUGGUACCACCCCAGAGAAGAGCA